Molecule: signal recognition particle RNA, 309 nt
Filed under: Suricata suricatta (meerkat)
Lineage: Eukaryota; Metazoa; Chordata; Mammalia; Carnivora; Herpestidae
Description: Metazoan signal recognition particle RNA (ENSSSUG00005003546.1)
Rfam family: Metazoan signal recognition particle RNA
About the family: The signal recognition particle (SRP) is a universally conserved ribonucleoprotein.
Source: RNAcentral
ACCGGGCGCGGUGGCGCGCGCCUGUAGUCCCAGCUACUCGGGAGGCUGAGGCAGGAGGAUCGCUUGAGCCCAGGAGUUCUGGGCUGUAGUGCGCUAUGCCGAUCAGGUGUCCUCACCAAGUUCGGCAUCAAUAUGGUGACCUCCAGGGAGAGGGGGACCACCAGGUUGCCUAAGGAGGGGUGAACCGGCCCAGGUCGGAAACUGAGCAGGUCAAGAAUAGAACACAUAGAGAGCUUUGAACACUGGAAAUUAUUUUUCUGCAACCUUCAUAUGAUACCUUGCCCAAAACUUGAGGCUAUCCCCAGCCUU